UGCUGCCCCGCAGCCGCCGCCCGGGUUCCCGGGCACUGCCCUCGCUGAGGAGCGUAUCGGCCGGCCACCAGCAGCACCGCGGAGCGCAGGAGCAGGGCCGCGGAGCCGGCGCGGGCAAGCGGGUGGGUGGCGCGCGGACAGUUAGCCUACCAUGGCAGACCAGAGACAGCGCUCUCUCUCUACCUCUGGGGAAUCAUUGUACCAUGUUCUCGGGCUGGACAAGAAUGCAACCUCAGACGACAUUAAGAAGUCCUAUCGGAAACUUGCUUUGAAGUACCACCCGGACAAGAACCCCGACAACCCGGAAGCUGCAGACAAAUUCAAGGAGAUCAACAACGCCCACGCCAUCCUCACAGACGCCACAAAAAGAAACAUCUACGACAAGUACGGCUCGCUGGGGCUAUACGUGGCCGAGCAGUUUGGGGAGGAGAACGUCAACACCUACUUUGUGCUCUCCAGCUGGUGGGCCAAGGCCCUGUUUGUCUUCUGCGGGCUCCUCACGUGCUGCUACUGCUGCUGCUGUCUGUGCUGCUGUUUCAACUGCUGCUGUGGAAAGUGCAAGCCCAAGGCACCCGAGGGCGAGGAAACCGAGUUCUACGUGUCUCCUGAGGACCUGGAGGCCCAGCUGCAGUCGGAUGAGAGGGGAGGGCACUGACUCUGUGCCGGGAGUGUUUGUGGUGGCAGCUGGGACUGUUGUGUGAACGUGGACUCUGGAGAGGCCACAGAUACACCGAUCGUCAUUCAGCCUGCGUCCGCCACAGAGACCACCCAGCUCACGGCUGACUCCCACCCCAGCUACCACACUGAUGGGUUCAAUUAAGUUGUGGAGACGCUGUGAUUAGAGGAUCAAUCAGCACCCGGCCACUUCAACCUUAGAAUCAUGAACUGUAGUCACAGAGCUGGGGAGGAGGCCUCUCCAGCCCUGAAGGGCAGCAGGCCGGGGUGUCCCUCCCGCCUCUGUGCCCGCCCAUCCGUCCACCCACACACAUGAAGUGCGUAGCAUGCAGUAUUUAAAGCAGUUUAGCUACGGUCUUCUUCUGUUCUUCUUUUCCAGUAGCAUGUAUGGGGUCAUGUUCCAUGUCUGUCUGUGCUGUGGACAUUUCUGCGGCUCGGCCGUGCUGACUGGACAGUGGAGCCACCUCGGCCUUGUGGUCAGCCCACUGCCCCAAAGUGACCAAGGCUGCAUGGUGCCCCCUGGGGGGCUUGGCAGGCUGUUCCUUCUCCUCGUGCUUCUGGGUGUGAGAAGCAGGGGUCUGGCCUUCUGCCCUACCCCCUUCCCCCCAUGCCAUCGUGUUCCCGAGCUGCUGGUGGCCCGCCCUUGCAGAAUGUCCCCCUUGGCUUGUGGGCCUUGUGGGGUCACCUGUGCUGCCUGUGUUGUGGGAAGAGUAGAACACUCCCCUCCUGCCCCAAGACAAUGCUCCCCGCUCAUGGUCCCCCACUACCUUGUCACAUGUCUGCACUUUCCUCAAGCCUCCUUGGCCCUCAAAAAGAAAGGACAAAGGGUAGCCCCAGGUCACAUUCCACACCCCUGCCCCAUCCCUGAAGGCCCUCCUGUCCCCUUAUGUUCCUUCCUGGGACCCUUAGGAGUCACAGUUAAUUAGGGACUGCGAGUCCAGGUUGCUAAGGUCACAGAUCCUGCCUCCCAGAACACCUUUUCCCCUUUGCCUGUUCCCCUUUGUUGUCACUACUAGUCCAGGCCAAGCUGAGGACAGCAGGUCUCUCUAGAAGGCCAGCUGGACCAAAGAGACAUUCUGACCAUGAGGGCCAGGGUCUGGGGAGGCCUAUUAGUAUCAGCUUCGUGGGCCCCCACCACCCCCAGUAGAGAACUGUUGGAAGCCAGCCCUUAUCUGUCCCAGAUUCAGAGCCAGAAAACACGAAGGCUGUGCUCUGUGACCCAGGGCCCCCACCACCACCCCCACACUGGCCCCAAUGGCCUGCACCAGCCGCUGGAGCGCCGACCACCAGAGGUGAAGAGCAAGGGGCAAAGGUGCAGUCCUCUGGCCAAAUGCAUCAGAACACCUUCCUGAACCCCAUCACCCCACCUACUACCCUUCCUGCCCCCCUGCCUUCCAGCCACACAGAGGCAGGAAGUGUCUGGACAGAACAGGGACGCACUCAGAAAAUGGUGCUGCUUGUGGGGCCCCUGACUCGCCCUGCUCGCAGACUGACACCAGGCCCUUGCCAGCAUUGGUCCCUUUCUGUUUUACUGUUUGCUCAUUAAAGUGAUCAUGAAGACUUCCAUGAGGGGGCAUUUGGUCUCUUAUACUGGACUAGCUUGAUAGGUCAGCCCUCAUAAGAAAAGAGGGAACUCACUGACCCAGAGCCCAGUGAGGGUGAGAGCAUACAUAGGCCGUCUCUGCUCGCUGUAGGCACAGCCUUUGUGACAGCUCUGGACAUAGCCUGGGCAUUGCACUGCUGUCCCCAGAGGGGCUACCGAAGGCAGAGAAACUGCUCGCCUGCAUGGUUGAGUUCCUGGCCAAGCCCUCUGUCAAGUUUUGAGGGCCAGGAGUCUCCAAGGCUCCACACGUCAGAGUUCCUUCCUUGCCAGGUGUUUCAGUUUCAUCAUCUAACUGGGUCAUUGUGGAAAUCUGAAGCUCCCUAUGGAGGCCCAAGUAGCACGGCAGGGGCUGCAGGCUGUAGGCCUGCCCUGGCCUCCUAUGAGAUUAUGGGAAAGGGAUGGUGCUGAUGGCGUGCACUGAAAGGCCAGGCUGCCUGGCAUUCCCGCUGCCUGACCCAGAAGGUAUUAUUUGAGUGAUUCAGAAGUAGAAUCCUUUUCACAACUGUACUAUAUCUGCUUUCAAGCGACUCUCAAGCUCCCCCAUGUCCUAUUCUGGCUUCUCUCCCAGCAUCCAUCUGGAUGGGGCAGCCCCUCAGGUACUGUGGCAGUGACCAGCAUGCCUGAGCUUCACUGCCCAGAGCAGGGCCUACCUCCUCUGGGUUCCCGGGAGAGGCAGGGAGAGCCCACUGGUGUCCAGGCUGCUGGUGUGUAGCUUCAUUCCUGUUUGGUGACGUGGACUCUUGUCUCCCUUCUGGCUUUGUUCUAUUUCCAAACUGCUCUGGAUAUUCCUACUUGUCUGUGCCCCUCACUAGCACUGCCCAGUCAUGCAGCCCGGACUCCAGGGACUGAGGUCAGCCAGAACUAGGCUUGCCCACGGGGCUCCGGUCUGUUCUCUGAUGUUCUGUCCAGGGCAGCAGGGGAUGCACUGCUUCAGCACCUGGCAGGGGAGGGAGACCACAAUGCAGCCGGAACUGGCCCACGGGCCAGAGUGUUCCAGCACCUUGGGGCCCCUUCAUGCUGCCCGCUCUGGGUGCGCCUGCUGUGGAGGCCGGUGUGAAUGCUGGAAAAAGUGACUGAUCUCAUUCCUUCCUGUUUGGGCCACGUGGUGCAGGACCAACCUGCCAGUUUGUGUUACUUUGGUUGUGAUCACUACCCUGUGGACUUGGCCAAGGCUUCCUUAUCAUUGUCCUUACAAGCACAGCUGGCAUUGCCUUCACAGGUGCAGCAGCAGGUGUGUCUGUGUACUUGUGUGUCUGUGUAACACGCAGCUGAUGGAGAACAAGUCCAAUAAAAACUGGCUCUCAAACCGCC
Erinaceus europaeus (western European hedgehog) is the source of this 3589-nucleotide RNA transcript. It is a transcript of the gene named DnaJ heat shock protein family (Hsp40) member C5, with no coding region annotated. The transcript is spliced from 6 exons. NCBI's taxonomy places the organism in Eukaryota, Metazoa, Chordata, Mammalia, Eulipotyphla, Erinaceidae. The record is from RefSeq and is a predicted model, not a curated record.